This 1397-nucleotide ribosomal RNA is filed under the name uncultured bacterium. Its description in RNAcentral is "16S ribosomal RNA". It matches the Rfam family "Bacterial small subunit ribosomal RNA". The record is from RNAcentral.
UUCGCCCUUAGAGUUUGAUCCUGGCUCAGGAUGAACGCUGGCGGCGUGCCUAACACAUGCAAGUCGAACGGGGUUGACUUACGGAAGUUUUCGGAUGGAAGUGAGUCAACUUAGUGGCGGACGGGUGAGUAACGCGUGGGCAACCUGCCCCAUGCCGGGGGAUACCGCCUGGAAACAGGCGCUAAUACCGCAUAAGCGCAUACAGCCGCAUGGCAGUAUGCGGAAAGCUCCGGCGGCAUGGGAUGGGCCCGCGCCCGAUUAGCCAGUUGGCGGGGUAACGGCCCACCAAAGCGACGAUCGGUAGCCGGCCUGAGAGGGCGGACGGCCACAUUGGGACUGAGACACGGCCCAAACUCCUACGGGAGGCAGCAGUGGGGAAUAUUGGGCAAUGGGCGCAAGCCUGACCCAGCAACGCCGCGUGAAGGAAGAAGGCUUUCGGGUUGUAAACUUCUUUUCUCAGGGACGAAGAAAGUGACGGUACCUGAGGAAUAAGCCACGGCUAACUACGUGCCAGCAGCCGCGGUAAUACGUAGGUGGCAAGCGUUAUCCGGAUUUACUGGGUGUAAAGGGCGUGUAGGCGGGAAAGCAAGUCAGAUGUGAAAACCACGGGCUCAACCUGUGGCCUGCAUUUGAAACUGUUUUUCUUGAGUACUGGAGAGGCAGACGGAAUUCCUAGUGUAGCGGUGAAAUGCGUAGAUAUUAGGAGGAACACCAGUGGCGAAGGCGGUCUGCUGGACAGCAACUGACGCUGAGGCGCGAAAGCGUGGGGAGCAAACAGGAUUAGAUACCCUGGUAGUCCACGCUGUAAACGAUGGAUACUAGGUGUGGGGGGACUGACCCCCUCCGUGCCGCAGUUAACACAAUAAGUAUCCCACCUGGGGAGUACGAUCGCAAGGUUGAAACUCAAAGGAAUUGACGGGGGCCCGCACAAGCGGUGGAGUAUGUGGUUUAAUUCGAAGCAACGCGAAGAACCUUACCAGGGCUUGACAUCCCGGUGACCGCUGUAGAGAUACAGUUUUCCCUUCGGGGACACCGGUGACAGGUGGUGCAUGGUUGUCGUCAGCUCGUGUCGUGAGAUGUUGGGUUAAGUCCCGCAACGAGCGCAACCCUUAUUGUUAGUUGCUACGCAAGAGCACUCUAGCGAGACUGCCGUUGACAAAACGGAGGAAGGUGGGGACGACGUCAAAUCAUCAUGCCCCUUAUGUCCUGGGCCACACACGUACUACAAUGGUGGUAAACAGAGGGAAGCAAUACCGCGAGGUGGAGCAAAUCCCUAAAAGCCAUCCCAGUUCGGAUCGCAGGCUGCAACCCGCCUGCGUGAAGUUGGAAUCGCUAGUAAUCGCGGAUCAGAAUGCCGCGGUGAAUACGUUCCCGGGUCUUGCACUCACCGCCCGUCA